AACGAACGCUGGCGGCAUGCCUAACACAUGCAAGUCGAACGAGACCUUCGGGUCUUGUGGCGCACGGGUGCGUAACGCGUGGGAACCUGCCCUUAGGUUCGGAAUAACUCCCCGAAAGGGGUGCUAAUACCGGAUAAUGUCUUCGGACCAAAGAUUUAUCGCCUUUGGAUGGGCCCGCGUUGGAUUAGCUAGUUGGUAGGGUAAAAGCCUACCAAGGCGACGAUCCAUAGCUGGUCUGAGAGGAUGAUCAGCCACACUGGGACUGAGACACGGCCCAGACUCCUACGGGAGGCAGCAGUGGGGAAUAUUGGACAAUGGGGGAAGGCCUGAUCGAGCAAUGCCGCGUGAGUGAUGAAGGCCUUAGGGUUGUAAAGCUCUUUUACCCGGGAUGAUAAUGACAGUACCGGGAGAAUAAGCUCCGGCUAACUCCGUG
This 433-nucleotide ribosomal RNA is filed under the name uncultured bacterium. RNAcentral describes it as "partial 16S ribosomal RNA". It matches the Rfam family "Bacterial small subunit ribosomal RNA", at positions 29 to 507 of the family's 1533-position model. The record is from RNAcentral.